ACAGCGGAUCAGACGGUCGCUUCCGCGUUCGUCGCGGAGGAGGAAAGUCCGGACUCCACAGGACAGGGUGGCCGUUAACGGCGGCCUCGAGCGAUCGGGGGAAAGUGCCACAGAAAACACACCGCCCGGCGGGUUCCGGCUUCACCGGGCCCUCGGGUAAGGUUGAAAAGGCGAGGUAAGAGCUCACCGGUCCGCCAGUGAUGGCGGAUGCUUGGUAAACCCCACCCGGAGCAAGACCAAAUAGGAGGGUUGGGUCGUCCGCCUGAAGCCCUCGGGUAAGGUCGCUGGACCCCGCGAGCAAUCACGGGGCUAGAUGAAUGACCGUCCCGCUUCCUGUUGGGAAGCAGAACAGAAUCCGGCUUACCGAUCCGCUGGCCCC
RNAcentral lists this RNase P RNA (379 nucleotides) under Deltaproteobacteria bacterium. Its description in RNAcentral is "RNase P RNA component class A". It matches the Rfam family "Bacterial RNase P class A". From Rfam's summary of the family: Ribonuclease P (RNase P) is a ubiquitous endoribonuclease, found in archaea, bacteria and eukarya as well as chloroplasts and mitochondria. Its best characterised activity is the generation of mature 5'-ends of tRNAs by cleaving the 5'-leader elements of precursor-tRNAs. The record is from RNAcentral. Lineage: Bacteria; Pseudomonadati; Myxococcota; Myxococcia.